This 849-nucleotide ribosomal RNA is filed under the name uncultured bacterium. RNAcentral describes it as "bacterial SSU rRNA". It matches the Rfam family "Bacterial small subunit ribosomal RNA", at positions 10 to 858 of the family's 1533-position model. The record is from RNAcentral.
AGUUUGAUCCUGGUUCAGGAUGAACGCUAGCGGCGGGCUUAACCCAUGCAAGUCGAGGGGCAGCAUGUCCAGCAAUGGAUGAUGGCGACCGGCGGAAGGGUGGGUAACGCGUGAGCAACAUGCCCUAUACAGGGAGAUACACCAGGGAAACUUGGUCUAAUAUCCCAUAGCAUUCAUUGAAGGCAUCUUUAAUGAAUUAAAGCUUCGGUGGUAUAGGAUUGGCUCGCGUGACAUUAGCCAGAUGGUGAGGUAACGGCUCACCAUAGCAAUGAUGUCUAGGGGUUUUGAGAGGAAGGCCCCCCACACUGGGACUGAGACACGGCCCAGACUCCUACGGGAGGCAGCAGUGAGGAAUAUUGGACAAUGGAUGGAAAUCUGAUCCAGCCAUGCCGCGUGCAGGAAGACGGCCUUAUGGGUUGUAAACUGCUUUUAUACGGGAGCAAUAAGGGUUACGAGUAAUCCGAUGAGAGUACUGUAUGAAUAAGGAUCGGCUAACUCCGUGCCAGCAGCCGCAGUAAUACGGAGGAUCCGAGCGUUAUCCGGAAUUAUUGGGUUUAAAGGGUGCGUAGGCGGCCAUUUAAGUCAGCGGUGAAAUUUUGCAGCUUAACUGUAACAGUGCCGUUGAUACUGUUUGGCUAGGAUUUGGUUGUAGUGUGCGGAAUGUGUGGUGUAGCGGUGAAAUGCUUAGAUAUCACACAGAACACCGAUUGCGAAGGCAGCACACUAAGUCAUUAUUGACGCUGAGGCACGAAAGUGUGGGGAUCAAACAGGAUUAGAUACCCUGGUAGUCCACACUGUAAACGAUGAUAACUCGCUGUCGGCGAUACACAGUCGGUGCCAAGCGAAAGC